GAGUCGGGUUAGGCCAGGUCAGAUCGCGAUUGAUUUAAACUAGAUCUGGUUAGGUCGGACCAGUUCACAUCGAUUCGGUCUAGACUGGUUUAGUAUAGGCCAGUAAAUGGUUCCAAACCGAGAAACUCAAUGUUAGGGAUUUGGGGAGCUCCUGGACCAUAAAUUAUUAUCUAUGUUUCCUCGGGCAUAAAAGGUAGCAACGAAUUCAUCCUCAACCCAUCUGUGGUCUUGAGCGCAAAGGGGGUAGGCAGAAAUGCCUUCUGCCUGUGCACGAUUGCCAUCUGGUCUUUCGGGGCUAGAGUUCUGUGGCACAGUGCACCAACACGUAUUGUUUCAUCGCGUACGAAAGUGUGCGGCCAGUCUCUGUGCAGCCCGAUUGGAGCGAUUAUUGCCUGGUCAGCUGGACUCGGCUUCUCCUGAUGCAGCAUCUGAUCGCAUAUCAGCUUCGCCAGGAAAUUAAAUUGAUGCUAGAAUUCAUGUAUCAUUUUGUAUACUUCUUCCAUGAAUGCGAAGAGUUUAUGAUCGACAUCCUUCUGUGAUCAUCUCCGGAUUCUUUGGCUUGACCACUGUUGCCUUCUUUUUGGGCUAAGUGCGAGAUACGACACCGAUAGAGGACUCGACUACUUCCUGCUAUAAUAUUACCUUGUUAGAAGCCUUUGACAUAGAUUUUGACUUCAGAAAAAAUAGAGAAGAAGAAGGAGAGAGUGAAGAAUACGAAGAAUAAUCUGAAAAGAAAAAUAGAGGUAAUAUUUUUGAUUAAUUUCAAUUGAUGAUUACAAAAUAGUGAAAGGGGCCUUUUAUAGACCUUGACACAAUAAAGAAAAACUCCAUUGGUGGCCCAAAUCACAUGGCUGAAAUUUUUCUUCCCAUUAUUAGCCGCAACAGCGGCCACAAGAUGAAUUGGUGAUGGAUUGGCACCAACUGCAGGAUUGAUGAGAUGAUUAGGGUUAACAAAUCCUAACCCUAAUUUUUUUACUAUUUUGCCUUUUGGUGCACAUUUCUUAAUUUACCACUCCUACUUUACUAAAUCCUAAGUGGCUUCCUGAUAUGUAUUUGGAUAAAUGAAGUUAUUAGAAUGUCACAAAAAAUAUCUUGUUAAAUUAAAAUUAAUUCAAGAAAAGAGAUUGAUCAAAACGCCACAAGUUACUUUAAUAAGUAGACACCAAUUCCCCACUUGACGAGAAGGUUGAAGAAACUUUUUUAAAGAGCAACAUAGCCAACAGCUAAGCAAAGCGAGAAACUUAAUUUAUUGAUCUCAAAUAUCUAAGUCUUUUCAACCAAAAGAGUAAAGCAUUUAUAUAGGUAUAAACCUUAUUAAUUCUCUUCGAAUUCAAAAUUUAAUUCCUAGAAAAACUCAAAUUGCAUUAUUAUCUAUGAUUUUAAUAAAAUAUUAUUUUAAACAAGUAUAAACAUAAUUAAAAUAAAAAUUCUCUCUUGAUAAAUAUUGGUGUUGUGAUCGACUUCUCCAUACUUUAUUAUACUUAGAUUUGGACUCAAAUAUUUAAUUAAUUAUUGUUGAAGAAAUUGAGUUGAAAUUGCUUUAAACAACUUCCUAACUGAAGUAGAAAACAAACUUUCAUCCAUGAGAAAAUCAAGAAAAAAUCUAAGAGAAAAUCCAAAAGAAAAUAUAAGAAGAGUGUAAUCUCGACUAAGACUUGUAGAAAAAGAUUUUUCUUCUCUUAUCUUGAUAAAACUCUAAAUUGAUGAAAGCUCUUGGUUUUGCUGAUGUAGAACUGUUAAAACCUGACCAUGCUGGAUAGGAUUAAGAUUCUUAAAUUCUUAGGAGAUUUACUUAAAGUUGAGAAUUAUUUAUAAGGAGAGUUGUGUUCGGUUGUGAAUGAAUGAACAAUCAAGUGUCCAAAAUUUUUAGAAUUCUUAUUAUUCACAUGAUAAAUGUGUUUUAGAAGAGAUGAAUAUCUAGUUAUAACUCGUCCAAGAAGAAUAGACUCCCCCAUGUGAAGUACUCGAGAGUCUAUGAUUGGGAAUAUUUUUUUUGGUCAUUUGCUUGUAAUCAUUUGUUAUGGUAUCUUAGUGUGAGUUGCUUCCCUUUUGCUUGCAUCCCUAAAAAAGAGAGAAAUAAGAGAAUACUACUAUUUAGAGAGGGAGAGAAACAGAUAGAAACAAAGAGGAAAAUCCAUCUAAGAUUGAGUUUUUGUCUAAACAAAUAUCUACCAAGCAUCAUUAAAACGGAAUAUAAAGACUCGAACCCUUAUUUACUGCGCAAUCAUGAUAAAGAGAGCUACAAUCACAUUUUUAUUAAUUGUUGUAUAGUUAGAAUGUUUUGCUUGACUUUUAAAUGGGGACUAAUGUUGGAAGAUUGGAACUUAGAUUGACAUAAGAAUUCUCAAGAUACAUAAUUAAUAUGUAAAUUCAAACAUUAAUUUAACGAAUGACAAGAAAUUCUACUCUACGCAUCAAUAAUGGCUGGCUUAUUAGAUUUGCAAAUAAAUAAAGGAAUAGUUACAAGCAUAAAAGAGUUACUUGGGGUAAAAAAAUAAGUUUUUCUUGUAAUGAAUGAAUUACAAUUCUUGUUUAACUUCUCAAAAAAUAUCCUCCUAAAAGACAAGGAAAAUCAACAAGAAAUAUAUGUUAUAUCUAACUUUAUUAUUUAUAUAUUGAUAUUCUAACUUUAAAUUUUAAAGAAUAUAUAUUAUCUGUAUUUAAUACUUUUAUUUAUAUAAUGUAUAUAAUACACAUAUAUAUUACUUAUUUAUUUAUUAUUUUUAUUUUUAAUAUUAAAAAAAUAUUAAUUACAGAUUUUCACUUAUAACUAACUGGUUGCAUAAUCAGAGGCAAUCCUGAUGAGUGUGGAAAAAGCAUAGGAGAACAGUAUGAAAAGAGUCCAAAUGCAUAAGGAUUUGCAGC
RNAcentral lists this long non-coding RNA (2865 nucleotides) under Carica papaya (papaya). RNAcentral describes it as "long non-coding RNA (CPAP_LNC004925)". Lineage: Eukaryota; Viridiplantae; Streptophyta; Magnoliopsida; Brassicales; Caricaceae. The record is from RNAcentral.